GGAAUUUUGGACAAUGGGCGAAAGCCUGAUCCAGCCAUGCCGCGUGCAGGAUGAAGGCCUUCGGGUUGUAAACUGCUUUUGUACGGAACGAAAAGUCUCUUUCUAAUAAAGAGGGAUCAUGACGGUACCGUAAGAAUAAGCACCGGCUAACUACGUGCCAGCAGCCGCGGUAAUACGUAGGGUGCAAGCGUUAAUCGGAAUUACUGGGCGUAAAGCGUGCGCAGGCGGUUAUGUAAGACAGUUGUGAAAUCCCCGGGCUCAACCUGGGAACUGCAUCUGUGACUGCAUAGCUAGAGUACGGUAGAGGGGGAUGGAGUUCCGCGUGUAGCAGUGAAAUGCGUAGAUAUGCGGAGGAACACCGAUGGCGAAGGCAAUCCCCUGGACCUGUACUGACGCUCAUGCACGAAAGCGUGGGGAGCAAACAGGAUUAGAUACCCGGG
Molecule: ribosomal RNA, 440 nt
Filed under: uncultured Variovorax sp.
Lineage: Bacteria; Pseudomonadati; Pseudomonadota; Betaproteobacteria; Burkholderiales; Comamonadaceae
Description: bacterial SSU rRNA
Rfam family: Bacterial small subunit ribosomal RNA
Source: RNAcentral